This 72-nucleotide transfer RNA is filed under the name Anaerolineae bacterium. RNAcentral describes it as "tRNA-Ile". It matches the Rfam family "tRNA". Rfam says of the family: Transfer RNA (tRNA) molecules are approximately 80 nucleotides in length. Lineage: Bacteria; Bacillati; Chloroflexota; Anaerolineae. The record is from RNAcentral.
GGGCCCGUAGCUCAAUGGCAGAGCACACGGCUCAUAACCGUUCGGUUGAAGGUUCGAAUCCUUCCGGGCCCA